Molecule: ribosomal RNA, 497 nt
Filed under: uncultured bacterium
Lineage: Bacteria
Description: partial 16S ribosomal RNA
Rfam family: Bacterial small subunit ribosomal RNA
Source: RNAcentral
GACGAACGCUGGCGGCAUGCCUAAUACAUGCAAGUCGAACGCUGAAGCACUCUGCUUGCAGAGUGCGGAUGAGUGGCGAACGGGUGAGUAACACGUGGGAAAUCUGCCUAUAAGAGGGGGAUAACAUUCGGAAACGGAUGCUAAUACCGCAUAUAUUCUUGGACCGCCUGGUCCUUGAAAGAAAGACGGCUUUGCUGUCGCUUAUAGAUGAUCCCGCGGCGUAUUAGUUAGUUGGUGGGGUAAAGGCCUACCAAGACAAUGAUGCGUAGCCGACCUGAGAGGGUGAUCGGCCACACUGGGACUUGGACACGGCCCAGACUCCUACGGGAGGCAGCAGUAGGGAAUCUUACACAAUGGGCGAAAGCCUGAUGGAGCAAUGCCGCGUGAAUGAAGAAGGUCUUCGGAUCGUAAAGUUCUGUUAUUAGAGAAGAACAAGUCAAGGAGUAACUGUCUUGACUUUGACGGUACCUAACCAGAAAGUCACGGCUAACUACGUG